This 493-nucleotide ribosomal RNA is filed under the name Fusarium equiseti. Its description in RNAcentral is "eukaryotic LSU rRNA". The stretch from base 130 to 283 matches the Rfam family "5.8S ribosomal RNA". The record is from RNAcentral. Lineage: Eukaryota; Fungi; Ascomycota; Sordariomycetes; Hypocreales; Nectriaceae.
ACCCCUGUGAACAUACCACUUGUUGCCUCGGCGGAUCAGCCCGCUCCCGGUAAAACGGGACGGCCCGCCAGAGGACCCCUAAACUCUGUUUCUAUAUGUAACUUCUGAGUAAAACCAUAAAUAAAUCAAAACUUUCAACAACGGAUCUCUUGGUUCUGGCAUCGAUGAAGAACGCAGCAAAAUGCGAUAAGUAAUGUGAAUUGCAGAAUUCAGUGAAUCAUCGAAUCUUUGAACGCACAUUGCGCCCGCCAGUAUUCUGGCGGGCAUGCCUGUUCGAGCGUCAUUUCAACCCUCAAGCACAGCUUGGUGUUGGGACUCGCGUUAAUUCGCGUUCCUCAAAUUGAUUGGCGGUCACGUCGAGCUUCCAUAGCGUAGUAGUAAAACCCUCGUUACUGGUAAUCGUCGCGGCCACGCCGUUAAACCCCAACUUCUGAAUGUUGACCUCGGAUCAGGUAGGAAUACCCGCUGAACUUAAGCAUAUCAAUAGCGGAGG